RNAcentral lists this long non-coding RNA (1032 nucleotides) under Accipiter nisus (Eurasian sparrowhawk). RNAcentral describes it as "lncRNA (ENSANIG00000011466.1)". Lineage: Eukaryota; Metazoa; Chordata; Aves; Accipitriformes; Accipitridae. The record is from RNAcentral.
AUGCUGCUGCUGAUGCUGCCGCCGCUGCCGCCGCCGCCGCCGCCGCCGCUCGAGCUGCUGGAUGCUGCGCUGCGCCAGGAGCUGAACAUAAAGGGGCUCCGUCAGGGGCCGGGAGUCCUCUCAGCCCGCGCUCGCCUUCAGCACCACGGACAGCCCCACGCGGGCCGGGCCGGGCCGAGCCGGGCAGGGCCGGGCCGGGCAGGGGCCGCCGCCCCCCGGGCAGGGUCCGCAGUCCGUCGCCGCUCCGCUCCGGAGGAGCGAGCGCGCAGCACUUGUGGAGUGCGCGGGAGAGGGAGCGCGCGGGAGGAGGAGGAGGAGGAGGAGGAGGAGGAGGAGUACCGAGGGGUGGAGGUGGCGGCGGGAGUGCGGGGCACCGCGCUGCGCGGCGGGCUGGGGAGACGGGGCUGGCGAGAGGGGCGUGGAGGGGGCCACGAGGCGGGAGGGCUGAGGCGAGGGCGCUGCAGGGGCGGGAAGGAGGAGAGAGGGCGAGCGAGGAGCCUCCCCGCGCCGCCUGGCGCCGGCGUGCAGCCGCCGGGGGCACCCACCUUCCGCUCCCCCGCGGAGCCCGGCGCGGUCUCUCGCACAACUCCCUCAGCCGGCCACGGCGCCCGCCGAGCCCCGCCCGGAGCCGGGCGAGCCCGCGGGAGGCGACGGCUGCCGGGGCAGAGCGCGGGCGGCUGGACGGACUCGCCGCGGCAUCCAGCCGGCGGGGAAGGGCUGCCGCCAACGGGGAAAUCCGCCUCGGCGGGCAGCGUGCGGAUGAGAGGGAGGGCGAGGCAGCCCGGCGACCCCAGCCCGUCCUCCGAGGAGCCCGCGGGCGGCUGCCCGCCGGCCUGCCCCCGCCCCCGAGCCCCCCUCUGCGAAGCCCCCCCCCCCCCAGCCCCUCUGAAGGACCGGCGGCCUCUCCCUCCUGAGCAGCCCCUCUGUGGGGCUUUUCCCCCUCCCGUCAGGCCCGCCGCGGAGCCGGCCCCCACCUCAGCCCCCUCAGCCCCGCCGCGGGGCCGGCCCCGCUCCCCGCCAUCCCUUACAUAA